UUAGGCAAAUUAGGUUUAUGAGGAAUCGAAAAAACUCCUGAAAUGUUAAAGGCAUACAUAUAGUGAUUUUUGUAUUUUCAUUAACAAAUCAAGCAUUUACAUUUAAAAAAGUGACAUUUGAUGAAGUGGGACUGCUGAUGAUGAUCAGAAUGGAACUCUUCAACGACGCAUAAUUCACGAUUGCCGAUUAAGUAGUAGUAAAUUAGAUUUUCAAGACAUUUUUUAAUAUAAUAUAAUAAUCUUUCUUUCACCGGUCUCCCUCAUUGAAGUCGGUUCUUUUUUUUGAAAAUUAUUUUUAAUUAUAACUUCAGUCCAGUGGGACUAUUUCGCCAUAUCAAGGCCUAGAGCUUUAAAUACGACUAAAAUUGUACGGUUAGUACAAGACUGUACGGUGAUUUUAUCAGCUCUUGUAAAGCGAUAGCUGGACUUUACAAGUAGCACGUGGACUACCGGCCGUUGACUCCAAGAUGGUGGUUAAACGCAUUUCAAGAUUAAUUCUCCAUUCACUGCACACUACUACAUUAGUUUACUGUAUAAUAAGCUAUCGAUAUUACACUUUAAACAAUAUUAAUGAGCAAAAAACACAGCAAUUAAUCACUAGGCGUGACUAUCAAUAUGGCGCUCGAACCCGAAGUCGAUAUGGAUUAGAUAGUUCAGUGUCAAGUGACGUUUCUUCAAAUAAAAACGUCACUUUUGACACUAACAUAUCCAAUACUGUUUGAAUCAGGCCAUUAGGCGGUAUUGACUUCGAUGUGAAUCCGCACUCCGGAGCGGAGCGCGGAUCCGCAUUAGCGUGUUAACCGCCUUAUUCCUCAUUUCCCCAUACCCUCGGGGCUGCGUGAUAUUUAUUUUACAUUACUUAGAACGACGAAAGACAUUGUGGAAACCUGUUUUGUUAUAAAGUACCACAGAUUGCCUCUCAUAGAUAUUGCAAUGGUAGAAAAACAAGGAGUGUGACUUUCUGGCUCAACCAGACGCGGGAACUUGGAUGCGAGUUUAGUUACAUUGCCGACUAUCUGAAGUACAGCUCACAUAGCCAAUACGCCAAUCGUUGACGCUCGGUAGCGUAGCAUAGUCAUCUCUCUAUAUCACUCUUGCGCAUUAGUGCGACAGUGAUAGUUGCGUUUCGUUCGGUACGGAGCGUUAACGAUUGGCAUGUUGGCUGCGCGGCCAGAGAGCUGUAAAAUGGCAUAGACACAUGAAUGAAGAAAUUCAUAAAAUGGCAAUUUUUCGGAUGAGUAAACAUUUGGUAUCUAGAGUAGCGUAUUUGACAAUGUGUCAAAGCUAAUAUAGUAUUUUAUGCAACAGUUGUAUAAGAAGGGUCAAAAAAGGCGAGUGGCGUGAGAAUACGCCACGAGAAUUUUUUGACCUACUUAUACAACGUUGCAUACAAUAUUUUUCCUACGAGUCAACAAAAAUAAAUCUUAAUUUAGGUAAACAAAUUACAGCAAAAGUAUAUAGCCAAGACGCGCGCGCAUACCUUGUGACGCGCCCGGCCCGCCCCGGGCCGCGGCCGGCCGGUCGGCGACACCUCCUCGUAACUCAUGAGGCCCUGGUACUUGCUACUUGCUAAAUUAAGUUUUUGGACAGUUUUUUCUCAAUUUUGGCCACCGUAGCCUACGGAGACUAACAAGCAACGCUAAGCGGUCUUCGUAGUCUAUGGGUGUUGCUAUAUUACGGGUGUCACAUGCGUGUUUCUGACUUAUGAAGUAAUUAUUUUUACUAUGCAACCAAAUGAAUAUUUAGUUUAAAACUGUAUUCGUUUUUGUUUUGUUAGGUUGGUAGCCAUUAAUCGCAGUAACAUUAUAGCUUAUAAAAGCACAAGAGCUUUUAUGAGGAAUAGACAAUAUAGACUUUUCUUGAAAUCUUUUAUGUAUGUUCUUAUAUUCGUGUUAAUGAAUGCAUAAAUGACAGAUAACAGUAGAGGAG
Molecule: long non-coding RNA, 1929 nt
Organism: Cydia pomonella (codling moth)
Lineage: Eukaryota; Metazoa; Arthropoda; Insecta; Lepidoptera; Tortricidae
Exons: 2
Source: RefSeq, a predicted model, not a curated record